This 2485-nucleotide long non-coding RNA is filed under the name Rhinolophus ferrumequinum (greater horseshoe bat). RNAcentral describes it as "lncRNA (ENSRFEG00010011753.1)". The record is from RNAcentral. Lineage: Eukaryota; Metazoa; Chordata; Mammalia; Chiroptera; Rhinolophidae.
CCCGCUGUGACGCAGGCCGCGUGCCCGGGCACUUCCUCCCCUGCAGAGAGCACCCGGCGCCGGGACCAGCCGGCGAGGGCUGCCGCCCGCCGCUGGGGACUUUCUUAAGGCCGUGAAAAAAAAUCCUCCCACUGCUUCCCGGCUGGGCCACUGCGGCCUCUGAUCCGCCCACCCGGCGUCUCCGCAGUGGGGAAUCGACCGGGUCUCGUACCUUCCCUACCGUCCCUAACUAUGCGCGGAAAACCCGAGGCGUCUCUGCGCGCAGCGUUUGAUCCGCUAUCGCAGCCUUCUCGCGGGCUGAAAAAGCAAACUGCCUUCUUGAAAGCUGACAGCUAUCUAUACGGAAAAUCUUCUGCCCGGUGGAAAAAAAAAACAACAAACGCACAGACAAGGUUACUAAGUAACAUAAAGUCUUCUGGGAUGCCUUAUCAAUACCAUCUAUUCUACGAGCACCAAAAACUAAACUGUUGCUCUAACUUGGCAGUCAGGAAAUGACCGAUGUUCGUGAAUAGAGCAAUUAAUGGACAGCUAAUCGUCUUUCGCUAGUUGGUUUGUUCUUCUACAACAAACCUUAAGAAAGCAGGCACCUCCUAUUACCCCAUUUCUAUUUUCAAGCUAAAUUGAAAAUUUGUCCAAAAGUUAUGCUCUUCGGCUUUUAACUGCUUUCCCCCUAUUUUCCCCGCUAGUGGCAAAUUCCUUACACUUUUCCAAUUCCAGUACUGUUGUUGGAUUUCCUUCCCAGAAGACAAUCUUGAACCCUCUUAGGCCUUGGGGGAUGAUUAUAACACCAGCCUUAACCUAGAUCAAGACUGUAAUCUAGGGUGGGGACUUCCUCCUAGAUAGAAGGUGGAAAAAUUUGUAGAGUGUUCGUAGGGAAAAGGCAGAAGCUGACUUUAAGAAUUUGCUAAAAGAAUUUGAGUACCUUGCAAGCCAGCAGGUACUAUCUAAGGUAGCCUCAUCUCUUAAAUAUAUUUAAACCCUCAAUGAGACAAGUACUAAGGGCACAUACCUCCUGUGGCGGGCCUUAUUCUGCAAAUGCUUUCUGAGUGCACCUCUAUCCUUCUUGUACCGCUGGCACCUGACCUCAAGCUUAGGCAACCCUGUAAUGCUCCCUCACUACCCACUGUCAAGGAACCAUUCAAGCCUAGACUUUGGACUCAGGUGAACCAGAAAUAAAUCCCUACUCUUCCUGUGUAAAUGUAAGGAAGUAACUGCUACUCUUUUUCUUCCAUCAUCAGUGAUAUAACUAUAGUAUUAUAGGGUACUAUGAGAAUUAGAUAACAUGCUUCAAGCAGCAAGAACAAUGCCAAGAACUUUAUAAGUAGUUAAUAAAGGUAGUUGUCAUGUACGCUCAUGAGUCCUCAUAGCCCUGAAAUCAAAAGGACUUUGAACAGCAACAAUGUUUGGAAACGGGAUAAAAGCCCCACAAGUUAAGUCUCCUCACUCUCCCCCUCCACUGGCUUAAUUGCAGUGCUUUUGUCUACUCUGCUUUCUAAUAGGGUGAACUGGACAGUUCUACAUGCAGUCAAUUGAUUCAUAUACACACUACAGUCUGAGAGGCACGAAGUCUGAAAACCAAUGUGUUAUACUGCUUAGUUCACCUCUUUACUUUUUAUCUUUUAAUUUCAUAGCAUGUAAACCUUAAGUCUAGUCACCUCACCUCAGUAAACCUAACUCAAAUCAACUACUAUAGUUAUCAGUAAAACACCAGGAGAAUCACCAAUUAGCCUACUUCUGUGAAUGCUGGACCUUGAGUGUCUCAAAGAAGUAUAAGGCUUAUUCCCUGACUUCAAGGUAUUCACAGAGCAUGGGAGAGAGCAUGGGUCACAAUAAACCAUUUCAAACUAAAUGUGGUUGAAGUUCAGAGAAAGGAGAGGGCACUGUGGGUUAGGUGAACUGUGUAUACAGAGCCACCACCUUGAACUUUCACUUAAUAGCCAAUUCUUUAGGCCAAAGUUUGACAUUCUAGAUGGGCUUCCAGAGUGAGUUCGCACACUUAGACUCCACAGUGUUACAAGUUAACCAUGUACUAGCGGACAAUAGGGAGCAGAACUAGAUCUUUCCGAGCAAUGCAGGGCCCUGGUAAGUGAUUUGGAAUGAUACAGAUCUGGGCUCAAAUCUGGGGUCGAAUACUCAGUAGCUAUGUGACUGAGCUUCUUAAUCUUUGAACCACCUGUCUAUUGGAACAUCAGUACCUACUUUUUAAGGUUCUAGUGAGAUUUAGAAAAAAGUGCAACUUCUCUAGUGGGUCGUAUGGCAAUAGUAUUUAUAGUACGUUGGUUUGUUGUUAGCUAAAAGAAAAUGCAAGCUGGGCUAUAUCAUUCCUUGAAGGCAUAUUUCAAAAGUUGCCUUCUCUGUGAAAUUUCUGCAGGCUCCUGACAGUUCUCCCUUCCUCGUGCUCCCACAGCACUUACUAUUUAUACUUACUUUGGUGUGCUGCUAUUCAUCCAUAUCUAUCUAUCUAUCUAUCUAUCUAUCUAUCUAU